CUUUCCUUUGCGACAACGCAGUCCGCACAGUUCUCCCCUGCCAAGACAGACAGUGAAGAAUCCGCAACGGAUGCGAUAGUCGUUCUUUCCGAGGCACAAGGCAACCCGACGGGGCAAUGAAGGGGAAAACCCCCCGCCCACAUAACUUUCCGCAUCCAAAGGCACAAGCAACAUACACAUGGGCCAACACAGCCACGACACGGCCUGCGUGGAACACGUGCAACACUACAAGGUCCGCCCCGUGCCGUGACAGGCAAAGGGCAGAUAGGGGCAUAGGGAUCAAUUCGAUUUCCACCGUAGUGGGUAAGCAACACAGGAACCAAGCAUCACC
Molecule: unclassified non-coding RNA, 331 nt
Filed under: Oxossia marmorata
Lineage: Eukaryota; Viridiplantae; Streptophyta; Magnoliopsida; Malpighiales; Passifloraceae
Description: partial external transcribed spacer
Source: RNAcentral